Molecule: ribosomal RNA, 199 nt
Filed under: Bacillus cereus
Lineage: Bacteria; Bacillati; Bacillota; Bacilli; Caryophanales; Bacillaceae
Description: partial 16S ribosomal RNA
Rfam family: Bacterial small subunit ribosomal RNA
Source: RNAcentral
UCUUAUGAAGUUAGCGGCGGACGGGUGAGUAACACGUGGGUAACCUGCCCAUAAGACUGGGAUAACUCCGGGAAACCGGGGCUAAUACCGGAUAACAUUUUGAACCGCAUGGUUCGAAAUUGAAAGGCGGCUUCGGCUGUCACUUAUGGAUGGACCCGCGUCGCAUUAGCUAGUUGGUGAGGUAACGGCUCACCAAGGC